RNAcentral lists this unclassified non-coding RNA (309 nucleotides) under uncultured Aspergillus. RNAcentral describes it as "partial contains 5.8S ribosomal RNA, internal transcribed spacer 2, and large subunit ribosomal RNA". The stretch from base 1 to 105 matches the Rfam family "5.8S ribosomal RNA", at positions 50 to 154 of the family's 154-position model. The record is from RNAcentral. Lineage: Eukaryota; Fungi; Ascomycota; Eurotiomycetes; Eurotiales; Aspergillaceae.
GAAAUGCGAUAAGUAAUGUGAAUUGCAGAAUUCAGUGAAUCAUCGAGUCUUUGAACGCACAUUGCGCCCCCUGGUAUUCCGGGGGGCAUGCCUGUCCGAGCGUCAUUGCUGCCCUCAAGCACGGCUUGUGUGUUGGGCCCCCGUCCCCUCUCCCGGGGACGGGCCCGAAAGGCAGCGGCGGCACCGCGUCCGGUCCUCGAGCGUAUGGGGCUUUGUCACCCGCUCUGUAGGCCCGGCCGGCGCCAGCCGACACCCAACUUUAUUUCUAAGGUUGACCUCGGAUCAGGUAGGGAUACCCGCUGAACUUAA